UUCACGCAUGCCUUCACUGUGUAAAUUCACUAGAGGGACUAAAAAAUCAAUUGAUGAGAGGAAAAAUGAAAGUGAAAUAACAAUGGCAAUAUCUUACUAGGUGGGACAACUCCUGCCCAACAAAAAAGUAUAUAAAAUAAGGUACGUUCCAUCGAAGAAAUUGGACCGCCCAGAACCAGAAGCGGAAAUUGCUUGUGAAGCCGUGCUUCUAAAACGUGGCAGCUAAUCUUUUAGCCACAUCCACAUAUGUAGAGUUCUGUGGUGGCUAGCUGAGGCUUCUCCUUCCUUUUCUUCUCUCUUCUCGAUGCUACCUUUUCCGUUUCAGCUAUGUUUGCUGGAAGCUACUCAAUUUGAUAGAUUUGGAAAUUGACCAUCUCUCGAUUGAUAGGAGCUUGUUGCGUUUUCUCUAGAGCAAGUCAGUUUAUGGAUAUUUAAAUAUGGUGUUUCGGAGAAUCUAAGGUCAGUAGCUGAUGCCCAUUUUCUUGUCUCUGCAAUCCCUUACACUGUUGCACAUGUUAUUAUUUGCUUGAAAUUAAGCUUUUUAUUUAUAAAGCAUAAAGGUAGACAAGUAAUAAUAAUAAAUGCAUAUUUUAAUUAUGAUGAAAUAAAGAUCUCUCAAUGUGCUGAAAUGCCAAAAUGGGGACAUAAGAUUAAUAAUAAAAAGAAGAAGAAAAGAAAAGAAAAAAAAAGAGGAAGAAGAAAUGUGAUAGCAAGCAUGGGUUGGCAUUUGGCAAUAAGCUAGCCCAUAAUGCAGAGAACCAAAUCCUGCAGAGUUUUAAUUUUUAUUUGAAUUAAAAUGGGCAAGCAAAGGAAAGCAAAUCAAAUCACAAACACCCACCCCAAAAAAUAAUGGUGUCAGGUCUUUGUGAGACCAAAACAAUGUGUGUUAUCCCCCUAGCCAUGUGUGUGUCUUUAACACUUAAGGUGUGUGUUAAUACCCCAUUAGCUGUGGCCCUACGAGACCUUAAGAUAGUCCCAAUCACAAGUCUCUUCUAUGGCUCCCUUGUUAAAAGGGAAUGGUUAAGCAUCUUUUUUAUAAUCCUUGGCGUAAUGUUUUGGAAGGCAGGCAGCUUGGCACUGAUUGACAUGGGCAUAUUGUUUGUUUUAUAAUAUUUCUACAUGUUAGAAUGCUUGAAAACAGUGAAGUCUCUGUGGGUGAGGGGUGGUGGGGAUCCACAUGCUCAUGUGUUGUAAGAGAGGACCACGCCUUAACGCUAGGUUUUUAUAUUUCAUCCAAUUAAAUCUCAGAUGUAGAUUUUGCAUCAUUUCUUUAAUAAUUUUUAGUGAUUUUCUUUUGGAUUAUCAACUAAUUAACAUAUAUAAAUAUUUUUUUAAUUGUAUUUCAAUUCUUGAAAAGACUAAUGCUUUGAAAAUUCUUAAAUGGGUUCGUGAGUUUUGAAUCAUUGUCUCCAAAUAUAUGCGCAUAAACUUGUAUGAGUUGAAUCUCGGCAAAUACGAUCUGGCCUCUUUGACAGGUCUACUUAUUUGAGGCAAAACUCUUUAUAAGAAAAAAUAAAAAUAAAUUAAAAGAAGAAACUAGCUUUACAAAUGAUUUUUUUGAAAAAAAAGAAACAGAGAAAACUUUCUAAAAGUAGAUAAUGUCCUUGUUUGUGUACUAUACUUUUUAUUAUAAAUUUUUUAAAGAAAUACAAAUAGUUUUGUUGUUUGGGGUCAUCAUUUCCAAGAACAUAGGUGUACUUUUUCUGCAUUAAUCUAUGAUAAUUGCAAUUAUAAGAUGGUAUUUGUGGUUGUGGAGGACAUGUAAGUAAUGCAUGGACUUCGCCACAAUAAGGGACAAACAAGCGUGAGCACCAAACUAAGAAACAAAAACAGCUUAAAUUAAACUUUAAUUACCUCAUUAAUCCAUUUUUAUAUUACUAAUCAAACUUUUUCUUUUGUGCUAUUUAAUUUUGUAAGUUGGCAUCUUCUAGCUAGGUUGUGCUUUUUCUUAUAGACUAUCAUGGAAUCUUCUUGGAUGAAAAAAAAAAAAAAGUCAUGUCAAUUUUUUAAAAGAAAAAAGCAGGUUAGUACUAUAUUUCCAAGUUUCCACUAUACUAAUAAUAAAGAUAGUACCUAGCAGCAGCUACCAUGUGUAAUAAUUUAAGAAAAAAAACAAAUGAAUUGCAAUUUUAGCUAUUGGAUUAAUUCAAAGAUAUGAACUCAGAAAGACUGGCUAGAUAAGAAUUUACAGGUGAGAGUGGGGCUGCAUCUUCCUUCUAAGUCUAAAAUGUUGAUGAGAAAUUUGAAAGAAGAUUAACAGAAGAUUGAUGGAAAGGAAAGAAAAAAAACUGUAAGCAGAAGAAAAAGAGGAGGGGGGUGGGUCGAGGAUGGCAAAGAAACCAACAACUUUCAAUCAAAUCCAUGUUUCUAAAGUACUAAACAUUGAACAAAAAAUUUGCCAUGAAGAUCACCAAACUUCCAGUAGGGAAACAACUCAUUGAAGCCCCCACUCUCCUAAAUGUCUUCUCUCUAUGCAUAGAUCAUUUCAACGUUUUUAUCAUUUCAAUUUGUGUGUCUUACCAGCACAACAUGUGCCUGCCCAUACGUAUUAUCAUCCUCCCGAGGCAAGAUUUAAUUUUAUGUGCUUUUCUUC
This is a long non-coding RNA of Manihot esculenta (cassava), 2593 nucleotides long. RefSeq lists it as uncharacterized. The record is from RefSeq and is a predicted model, not a curated record. The transcript is spliced from 2 exons. Lineage: Eukaryota; Viridiplantae; Streptophyta; Magnoliopsida; Malpighiales; Euphorbiaceae.